UUGAAGGAGCCGAGGGUGGGCG
RNAcentral lists this non-coding RNA (22 nucleotides) under Mus musculus (house mouse). The record is from RNAcentral. Lineage: Eukaryota; Metazoa; Chordata; Mammalia; Rodentia; Muridae.